GGAUUGGCGUGUCGGUCGUGCCUUAAGGGGUAUGAACUGGCGUCGUCGAUUUCUCACCUUCUGGAGAAACGCGAUGCCCUUAAUUGGGUGUCGUGCGGAACCAGGACCUUUACCUUGAAAAAAUUAGAGUGUUUAAAGCAGGCAUUUUUUGCUCGAAUACAUUAGCAUGGAAUAAUAAAAUAGGACGGUUGGUUCUAUUUUGUUGGUUUCUAGGAUUGACGUA
RNAcentral lists this ribosomal RNA (223 nucleotides) under uncultured fungus. Its description in RNAcentral is "partial small subunit ribosomal RNA". The stretch from base 97 to 223 matches the Rfam family "Eukaryotic small subunit ribosomal RNA", at positions 739 to 864 of the family's 1831-position model. Lineage: Eukaryota; Fungi. The record is from RNAcentral.